GGUCGAUGAUUAAGUUGUAAGAGUAGUGGGCAGAAGUGAUUUCUGAGAAGUUUUAACAAUGAGGCC
Poecilia latipinna (sailfin molly) is the source of this 66-nucleotide small nucleolar RNA. The record is from Ensembl. Lineage: Eukaryota; Metazoa; Chordata; Actinopteri; Cyprinodontiformes; Poeciliidae.